This is a long non-coding RNA of Gavialis gangeticus (Gharial), 672 nucleotides long. RefSeq lists it as uncharacterized. The record is from RefSeq and is a predicted model, not a curated record. Lineage: Eukaryota; Metazoa; Chordata; Crocodylia; Gavialidae. The transcript has 3 exons.
ACCAAUCCUCCCAACAGUUGGGAUGAUUUUUUUUUGGAUGUGGUGUUAGUAGCCAUUGUCACCUUCAAGCUGUAUAUUAAGCUGCCUGCAGUGGAAGUUUAUCAAGUUUAAUAUUACCAGAAGUGGACCCUUAAGUAAACAAUGACAAAUCUGAAUGGAGGCAGAGAGAACCUGCUGCAAAAUCCACUGUGGGCAAUCUCCAUGCAGAUCUCAUUUUCCUGUUCAUUGCGUCACCUAGCUACAGCACAGCACUUCAACAUGUAAUUAAUGCAACUUUUUAGAUACAGCUGUUUGUUUCUGCAGCCACAACAUCAGAAAUACACCGUAAUUUCGGUGCUGAGAUGGUCGGGUGAUUGCCUCGGCUCAUCACUGUUCACAGAAUGUGCUGGUGGCUUGAUUGUGGCCCGCAUGAGAAUCAGCUGUUUGCCCAUUUGCUAGCCCCUUUAGUCACAAGCUCUCCUAAGGGUACACAGCUCAGUUAGGGAUGCUGAUGAAAUGCAACCGACACACAGUAGCAACACACUGCAAGCAUCAGAGCCUGUGAAUAAUUUUAAUUCCCUUUUAAUACUUCAGGGGCCUUUUCCUGAAACAAAUAGUAUGUGUGCAUGCUUCCCUGUGGCUAACAGCAUCCUGUCAGCUUUAGUUUUGGUUUGUAUAAAAGAGAUGAUUAUU